AGAGUAGAUGUGAGCCAAGGAUGACUUGCCACCAUAUGUAUUGCCAUCGGAACUUGCAUGCGUUGGAUUGGGGCUUAUGUGACAGGUUAUCCUUGGUUCAACUUUGCUCACU
This 112-nucleotide microRNA precursor is filed under the name Eucalyptus grandis. The record is from RNAcentral. Lineage: Eukaryota; Viridiplantae; Streptophyta; Magnoliopsida; Myrtales; Myrtaceae.